GCACGUAGUUAGCCGGUGCUUAUUCUUACGGUACCGUCAUGGACCCCCUUUAUUAGAAGGAGUCUUUUCGUUCCGUACAAAAGCAGUUUACAACCCGAAGGCCUUCAUCCUGCACGCGGCAUGGCUGGAUCAGGCUUUCGCCCAUUGUCCAAAAUUCCCCA
Molecule: ribosomal RNA, 161 nt
Filed under: uncultured bacterium
Lineage: Bacteria
Description: partial 16S ribosomal RNA
Source: RNAcentral